This 306-nucleotide ribosomal RNA is filed under the name uncultured bacterium. RNAcentral describes it as "partial 16S ribosomal RNA". It matches the Rfam family "Bacterial small subunit ribosomal RNA", at positions 507 to 807 of the family's 1533-position model. The record is from RNAcentral.
GACAGCAGUAGCCGCGGUAAUACGAAGGGUGCAAGCGUUACUCGGAAUUACUGGGCGUAAAGCGUGCGUAGGUGGUGGUUUAAGUCCGUUGUGAAAGCCCUGGGCUCAACCUGGGAAUUGCAGUGGAUACUGGGUCACUAGAGUGUGGUAGAGGAUAGUGGAAUUUCCGGUGUAGCAGUGAAAUGCGUAGAGAUCGGAAGGAACAUCUGUGGCGAAGGCGACUAUCUGGGCCAACACUGACACUGAGGCACGAAAGCGUGGGGAGCAAACAGGAUUAGAUACCCGUGUAGUCCCUGUCUCUUAUAC